AGCGGCGGACGGGUGAGUAACGCGUGGGUAACCUGCCUUAUACAGGGGGAUAACAGUUAGAAAUGACUGCUAAUACCGCAUAAGCGCACAGUACCGCAUGGUAGUGUGUGAAAAACUCCGGUGGUAUAAGAUGGACCCGCGUCUGAUUAGCCAGUUGGCGGGGUAACGGCCCACCAAAGCGACGAUCAGUAGCCGACCUGAGAGGGUGACCGGCCACAUUGGGACUGAGACACGGCCCAAACUCCUACGGGAGGCAGCAG
RNAcentral lists this ribosomal RNA (260 nucleotides) under uncultured bacterium. Its description in RNAcentral is "partial 16S ribosomal RNA". It matches the Rfam family "Bacterial small subunit ribosomal RNA", at positions 94 to 354 of the family's 1533-position model. The record is from RNAcentral.